CUGAUCAGCGACGCCGCGUGAGGGAUGAAGGCCUUCGGGUUGUAAACCUCUGUCAGAGAGGACGAAGAUAUCCCAAUUUUGGGAUAGGACGGUACUCUCAGAGGAAGCCACGGCCAACUCCGUGCCAGCAGCCGCGGUAAUACGGAGGUGGCAAGCGUUAUCCGGAUUCAUUGGGCGUAAAGGGCGUGUAGGUGUCUCCAUAAGUCGGAUGUGAAAUCCUUCUGCUCAACAGAAGAACGGCAUUCGAAACUGUGGGGAUUGAGUACAGGAGAGGAGAGUGGAAUUCCUGGUGUAGCGGUGAAAUGCGUAGAUAUCAGGAGGAACACCGGUGGCGAAGGCGACUCUCUGGCCUGAUACUGACACUGAAACGCGAAAGCUAGGGGAGCAAACAGGAUUAGAUACCCUGGUAGUCCUAGCUGUAAACGAUGCUCACUAGGUGUGGGAGGUAUCGAUUCCUUCUGUGCCGCAGCUAACGCAUUAAGUGAGCCGCCUGGGAGUACGACCGCAAGGUUGAAACUCAAAGGAAUUGACGGGGGCCCGCACAAGCGGUGGAGCAUGUGGUUCAAUUCGACGCUACGCGAAGAACCUUACCGAGAUUUGACAUGUACUUGCAAUCCGUCUGAAAGGACGGACCUCCUUCGGGACAAGUACACAGGUGGUGCAUGGC
This 667-nucleotide ribosomal RNA is filed under the name uncultured bacterium. RNAcentral's name for it is "bacterial SSU rRNA". It matches the Rfam family "Bacterial small subunit ribosomal RNA", at positions 383 to 1049 of the family's 1533-position model. The record is from RNAcentral.